GGAGAAGAAGAAGAGCUCCCUGCCGAUCCAAUUCAGGAGAGGAAGUGGUAGGAUAUCGAUGCAGCUGCCGGUUCAUGGAUACCUCUUCAGUGCAUGUCGCAGGCCUGCACUCGUAUGGGUUUGCAUGACCCGGCAGAUGAACCCGCCAUUGUCUUCCUCUAUUGAUUAAUUGGAUUGAAGGGAGCUCCUCUAGCUACAUCU
Molecule: non-coding RNA, 201 nt
Organism: Oryza punctata
Lineage: Eukaryota; Viridiplantae; Streptophyta; Magnoliopsida; Poales; Poaceae
Source: Rfam